GAUGAACGCUGGCGGCGUGCCUAACACAUGCAAGUCGAGCGAACGGACGAGAAGCUUGCUUCUCUGAUGUUAGCGGCGGACGGGUGAGUAACACGUGGAUAACCUACCUAUAAGACUGGGAUAACUUCGGGAAACCGGAGCUAAUACCGGAUAAUAUUUUGAACCGCACGGUUCAAAAGUGAAAGACGGUCUUGCUGUCACUUAUAGAUGGAUCCGCCCUGCAUUAGCUAGUUGGUAAGGUAACGGCUUACCAAGGCAACGAUGCAUAGCCGACCUGAGAGGAUGAUCGGCCACACUGGAACUGAGACACGGUCCAGACUCCUACGGGAGGCAGCAGUAGGGAAUCUUGCGCAAUGGGCGAAAGCCUGACGGAGCAACGCCGCGGGAGGGAUGAAGGACUUCGGAUCGUAGAACACUGUUAUUAGGGAAGAACAUAUGUGUAAGUAACUGUGCACAUCUUGACGGUACCUAAUCAAAAAGCCACGGCUAACUACGUG
This 497-nucleotide ribosomal RNA is filed under the name uncultured bacterium. RNAcentral describes it as "partial 16S ribosomal RNA". It matches the Rfam family "Bacterial small subunit ribosomal RNA", at positions 28 to 507 of the family's 1533-position model. The record is from RNAcentral.